Long non-coding RNA from Brassica napus (rape), 3801 nucleotides. RefSeq lists it as uncharacterized. Lineage: Eukaryota; Viridiplantae; Streptophyta; Magnoliopsida; Brassicales; Brassicaceae. The record is from RefSeq and is a predicted model, not a curated record. The transcript has 2 exons.
AACUUAGUCACGCGCAAGCAACCUGCUUCGGCACUAAACAUGCCAAAUGCUAGACAUGCCUAGUAAGUCAACUAGCGAAGCCUCUAAAAUCGUGCAAGUAUUUGUCCUUGUGUGGAUUCAUUCAAACCUUAAUUUGUGUUCUUAUCACAAAGGUAUUUUCACCUUUGUAUGAUGAAUUUUGAUCCAUUCAAACUCGUAGCCUUUGAAUCCGUGUAAACUAACAAAUGUGAAAUCCGAUCUUAUGUCAGUGGCGAUGGUCAAAGUUGAUUUAGUUCGAUAAUAAUUGAAAACAGAUUAUUAAAUUUAGUUCGACAAAAGGGUCUUAUCGGGGUUUAACGUUAAUAGGUUGCACAUAUUAACAAUUUUUUAGUUUUUAAGUCUUUUUUUCUAGCUCAAAAUUAACUGAUUUAACUCCAAUUUUUUUUAAAAAAGAUUAAACUUCAAAUUUGGUACUAUUACUUUUCAAAUUUACUUUUAAAUGAUAACUAUUUUCAUUAAUACUUUUAAGUUUAUUAUGAAAAAACAAAAUUAACUUUCAUAAAUUAUUUAUAAAUGUUUAAGAAUUAUAUAUAAAAAUUUAUAAACCUAAUCUCACCCUCUAAAUAUGAAACCUUAUAUAAAUAAUUACUAAAUCUUAAACCGAAAUGUUAGAAUAUUUUCUGUUGAAUGUAUUUUUUGAAAUAUAUUACCAAACUUAGUGUAUUUUAUUUUUAACCAAUUUCUCACAAAUUAAGUGAUUAUGAAUGAACUGAUUCAUGACUUUUAUAUAUUAUUCUAGUUCCAUCAAAUCUCUGAUAUAUCCUUUCGAAAUAAUAAAUUUUCUGCUCUACUUUUUUUUGACUCAACAAUUACAAUUUCAUUUAACUAAUGCAUUGGUACAAAUAUUUUAGACCUCAAAAGAGACUCUACCGCAUAAACAAUAAUGCAGUCUAGCAACACCGUGGAACACUCAUUUGGAUCCAGCGCAACCUGACUUACAUCAUUGCGUUUUCAACCACAAUGGGAUGAAACAGCUCCACGUCACGAAGCAAUUCAUCUCUUAUACCUCUAAAUUCUACCACUACUAAACAAGAUAUAAAGUUGUUUCUUCACCUUCGGUUUAUCAUAACAAAAGAAUUCCAAUUACAGCUCAUAGCAAUUGAUACCAAAAGAUAGGAGUGAAAAUACUUGACCAACUGCAUCACCACCACAAUGGUGCUUAUUCUCAGUCCAGAUAAUCCGAGAGUGAAGGAAAACAUAUGCAUUGCAUCUUGGGGUGAAUGGCAAUCUUCAUAGCGACAAUCUGUAACCAAUGCUUCCAGACUCCGCUUGAUCAGCCAACCACCAAAAGGCGGGUUGAGAUUUUGGCACCAGCCACGUUCGAGCUUGUAUCCCGCCACACCGAAGACGAGGAAAAUCUACCGAGUCUGGCUAUCAUCUAACUGCGAAUGAUCUGCCUCAAAACGCAAAAACUAUCGAGUCUGGCUAUCAUCUAACCUUUCGAGACCACAAGCACUUCCAUUGACCAAGCGAAAGCCUUGAGUCUCUUCACGCCCUAUCUCUGAGAACCAGAGAAACAACCUCUUCUGCAUGAAGCUAUCUCGCCGCUGUUGAAACUCCGUUUAUCCGACUAGAGCUUCUUCCUUCUAGCCUCCUGAUGAACCAUAAAUGAUCCUUCCUGGUUGCGAUAAGCAAGGAAACAAGCGCCUCCAGAGCCAUCGAGUCAACACACGUUCACCGUUUUGUCACGAGACACUCCUCUGAAAGUAUUAAUGUUCAAAGUCUACUUAGGCUAGAAAAUGACAGAAGCACCACCAUAGCUCGGACCUGCUCCACAGACCACAGCUCAUGUCUCUCUUCUUCGAAUAUGAGCAACAAGCCAACCCUUCAGUCCAACUUCCAGAUCUUCAAGAACAUGGAAAAAUAACGGAGCCACGCACCGCCACAUCGAUUUUAGGAGUUAACUCUCAAAGGUAAGACGGGCAUCAGACUCAUCCAACAAAACCCUAUACGCCGACUCUUCCCAGAAACUAUCUCUUCCCACGACUCGCCGCCGUUCGAAAUAUCCGUCGUCAACAUGUCUAGCCACACUCCGCCGCGGUCAGAGCAGAACUAAGAGCUUCAAUCGGAUCUCAGAAGAAUUUGAGGAGAGCAAAAGAAAACAAGGAGAGGGAGUAGAGAAACCUCUGGCGGCGGGAAAGUUUCCAACCGUCGGGGACGCCGUGCUAGGGUUAGGGUUGUUCGAAGGAGAAGGUUUAAGUUUCGAUCCACAGAGAAUGCACAAUUAUGCGAAUUAAUGGAGAAAAUGCUUACAAAAAGUCUGCAACGUGGAUCCUAUAGGACGGUUCAGGUGAUUCAGUUAAGCGUACAUCCUCAUAAAGCAUGUAAAAUUAUCAGUUAUAGAAUCAUUUACAAUAUUUCUCGUAUAGUUCGUAAUAACAUAAUUAUCAGCGUUAAAAAAACAAUUAAUAACUAGACAUUUGAAGCCUCACGGUGAAGUUGGACAUAUGUAGUCCAUUAAAAGAAAAUUUUAUAUAUAUGUAUUGAUUUUUUUCAUUAUAUAUAUACGAUGUUAUGUUAAGUUUCACAGAUUUUUAAUUAAAACAAAAAUCACAUAAAAUUAACUUUUAUAUGACAUGUUAUUUACGAAAUAUACCACCACUACAAAAAAAAAAUGAUUGAAUUGUAUCACUUAAAAUGUAUCAGUUAUGUAAAUGAUCUUAUAUUAAAUUACUUAUUUAGAAAUGACAUAAAUAUAUAAAAUUCAAAAUCAGUUUGUAUAAGUGAUAUUAAUAUUAACUAAUUUAACAUCAGUUCAAUAAAUUGGUAUAAUUUUUAUUAAAUUGUAUAAUUUUAAAAUAAGUGAUGUUAUUAUAUAAAGUUACAUCAUUUAGAUAAUUGAUACAUAUAUUUUAUUGGUUAACAUCAUUUAUUACAAUGAUUCAAGAUUUACAUCAGUAAUAAACUGAUACUAACAAAAAUUAGGUUACUAUAUAUAAUUUUAGAUUUUUUUAACAAAAUUUGCAUCACUUAAAAGAUUUAUUUUCAUAUAAAAUUUAGUGUUUUUAAAUUACGAGAUGUGGUUACUAUUUUCAUGGCUUUAGUUAGUUUUCAACUUUAAUUUAUUUUCCCCCAUGUUCUUCUUAACUGUUUCACCAUAAGAACUAAGAAGGCAUAUUAUUUUCGAUCUGUCAUUCAUUUUUUUUUUUUUUUGACUGAGAUCUGUCAUUCAUUCCUCCGUCCUUCUUAUCUAUCUCUUAAAACUUUUUUUAUCAUCUUAAACAAUAAAUUCUAGGUUAUUUGAUUUAUAAAAAUCAACAAGAAUCAACCAUCUUUUUUUAGAUGUUUAUUAUGAGUCAUGAUUCUAUUCGUCUUAUGAAUGAUUUUAAAGAAAAACUGGAGUCUCCUAACCUGACUUUGAAAAGGUAAUAUUUUUCUUUUGUUCCUCUUCUAGUUCUCGUUUUCUUUUUUCCUUUUGAAAAUAACAAUUUUUGUAUCUUUAUGGGAUGCAUUUUUGUUAGAAUUCACUAUCAUCAGUGGCAAAAAUGAAGAAUCUCUUGCAAAUCCAGAGGAAUAGAAGUCUCCGUGAAGAGUUUUUGAUGGAUAGUUUACUGAUUCAAUUCAGUGUCACCUUAUCAAGGAAGGUUGAAGAUCAAAAUAAAGAAGAUUUUUUUUUUAAUUAUUCAGUAAUCGUUCUUCUUUCUGAAUACAUCAUCUUCUUCUUUUAGCAUUUUCAUCUAUGCUCUGUAUAUUCUUUUAGUUGAUUUCCUUGUUCUUUGUAUUAUAUUGUCAAUGAAAAAUAAAAAUAAAAAUAGUUUAACA